GAUGAAGAACGCAGCGAAAUGGGAUAAGUAAUGUGAAUUGCAGAAUUCAGUGAAUCAUCGAAUCUUUGAACGCACAUUGCGCCCGCCAGUAUUCUGGCGGGCAUGCCUGUUCGAGCGUCAUUUCAACCAUCAAGCCCCAGGCUUGUGUUGGAGCCCUGCGGCUGCCACAGCCUCCCAAAACCAGUGGCGGGCUCGCUAUCACACCGAGUGCAGUAGUUUACUCUUCGCUCAGGGCGUGUGGCGGGUGCUAGCCGUAAAACCCCCAACUUCUCAAGGUUGACCUCGGAUCAGGAAGGAAUACCCGCUGAACUUAAGCAUAUCAAUAAGCGGAGAA
RNAcentral lists this unclassified non-coding RNA (334 nucleotides) under soil metagenome. RNAcentral describes it as "partial contains 5.8S ribosomal RNA, internal transcribed spacer 2, and large subunit ribosomal RNA". The stretch from base 1 to 120 matches the Rfam family "5.8S ribosomal RNA", at positions 35 to 154 of the family's 154-position model. The record is from RNAcentral.